GCCGGGAUAGCUCAGCUGGUAGAACAUGAGAGGCUUAAUCACAGGAUCAUGGGUUUGAGCCCCAUGUUGGGUG
This is a non-coding RNA of Podarcis lilfordi (Lilford's wall lizard), 73 nucleotides long. The record is from the annotation of a GenBank genome assembly. Lineage: Eukaryota; Metazoa; Chordata; Lepidosauria; Squamata; Lacertidae.